RNAcentral lists this ribosomal RNA (279 nucleotides) under uncultured bacterium. RNAcentral describes it as "partial 16S ribosomal RNA". It matches the Rfam family "Bacterial small subunit ribosomal RNA", at positions 506 to 784 of the family's 1533-position model. The record is from RNAcentral.
UGCCAGCCGCCGCGGUAAGACGAACCGGACGAACGUUAUUCGGAAUCACUGGGCUUAAAGAGUACGUAGGCGGCCAGGUAGGUUGGGUGUGAAAUCCCGCAGCUCAACUGCGGAACUGCGCCCAAAACCACUUGGCUUGAGGGAAGCAGAGGUAAGCGGAACUGAUGGUGGAGCGGUGAAAUGCGUUGAUAUCAUCAGGAACACCAGUGGCGAAGGCGGCUUACUGGGCUUCUACUGACGCUGAGGUACGAAAGCUAGGGUAGCGAACGGGAUUAGAUA